This 24-nucleotide non-coding RNA is filed under the name Arabidopsis thaliana (thale cress). The record is from RNAcentral. RNAcentral also lists the same sequence under 8 other names. Lineage: Eukaryota; Viridiplantae; Streptophyta; Magnoliopsida; Brassicales; Brassicaceae.
GGCUCUUCCUAUCAUUGUGAAGCA